GGUAGGCGCUCGCUAGAGAAGGUGGUUCCCUUCGGGGACGCAGAGACAGGUGGUGCAUGGCUGUCGUCAGCUCGUGUCGUGAGAUGUUGGGUUAAGUCCCGCAACGAGCGCAACCCUUGUCUUUAGUUGCCAUCAUUAAGUUGGGCACUCUAAAGAGACUGCCGGUGACAAACCGGAGGAAGGUGGGGAUGACGUCAAGUCAUCAUGCCCCUUAUGACCUGGGCUACACACGUGCUACAAUGGGCAGUACAACGAGAAGCGAACCCGCGAGGGUAAGCGGAUCUCUUAAAGCUGUUCUCAGUUCGGACUGCAGGCUGCAACUCGCCUGCACGAAGCUGGAAUCGCUAGUAAUCGCGGAUCAGCACGCCGCGGUGAAUACGUUCCCGGGUCU
This 391-nucleotide ribosomal RNA is filed under the name Lactobacillus delbrueckii subsp. bulgaricus. RNAcentral describes it as "bacterial SSU rRNA". It matches the Rfam family "Bacterial small subunit ribosomal RNA", at positions 990 to 1381 of the family's 1533-position model. Lineage: Bacteria; Bacillati; Bacillota; Bacilli; Lactobacillales; Lactobacillaceae. The record is from RNAcentral.